RNAcentral lists this ribosomal RNA (455 nucleotides) under uncultured marine bacterium. Its description in RNAcentral is "bacterial SSU rRNA". It matches the Rfam family "Bacterial small subunit ribosomal RNA", at positions 8 to 459 of the family's 1533-position model. The record is from RNAcentral.
AGAGUUUGAUCCUGGCUCAGAUUGAACGCUGGCGGUAUGCUUAACACAUGCAAGUCGAACGGAAACGAUACUAGCUUGCUAGUAGGCGUCGAGUGGCGGACGGGUGAGUAACGCGUAGGAAUCUACCUAAUAGUGGGGGAUAGCCCGGAGAAAUCCGGAUUAAUACCGCAUAAUCUCUAUGGAGUAAAGGGGCCCUCUUCUUGAAAGGUUUCGCUAUCAGAUGAGCCUGCGUAAGAUUAGCUAGUUGGUGAGGUAAAAGCUCACCAAGGCGACGAUCUUUAGCUGGUCUGAGAGGAUGAUCAGCCACACUGGGACUGAGACACGGCCCAGACUCCUACGGGAGGCAGCAGUGGGGAAUAUUGGACAAUGGGGGCAACCCUGAUCCAGCAAUACCGCGUGUGUGAAGAAGGCCUGAGGGUUGUAAAGCACUUUCAAUUGUGAAGAAAAGUUAAUAG